AGGGUUUGAUUCUGGCUCAGAAUGAACGUUGGCGGCGUGGAUCAGGCAUGCAAGUCGAACGAAUGCCGUGGGGGCAACUCUGCGGCGGAAGUGGCGAAAGGGGCAGUAAGGCGUGGAUAACCUGCCCCGGACUUCGGGAUAGCCUCCCUAACGGGUGGGUAAUACCGGAUGCCGUAGCGUGGUCGCAUGACCGUGCUACGAAAGCUCACAAGGCGGUCCGGGAGGGGUUCACGUGGUAUUAGCUAGUUGGUGAGGUAACGGCUCACCAAGGCCAAGAUGCCUAGCGGGUGUGAGAGCACGACCCGCGCCACUGGCACUGGGACACUGGCCAGACUCCUACGGGAGGCUGCAGUCGAGGAUCUUCGGCAAUGGGCGAAAGCCUGACCGAGCGACGCCGCGUGUGCGACGAAGGCCUUCGGGUUGUAAAGCACUGUCGUGGGGGAGAAAGGGGGCAACCCUUGAUCGACCCCAGGAGGAAGCUCGGGCUAAGUUCGUGCCAGCAGCCGCGGUAAGACGAACCGAGCGAACGUUAUUCGGAAUCACUGGGCUUAAAGGGCGCGUAGGCGGGCCAUCAAGUCAGGGGUGAAAGCCCCCAGCUCAACUGGGGAAGUGCCUUUGAUACUGGUGGUCUCGAGGGAGAUAGGGGCGUGCGGAACUUCCGGUGGAGCGGUGAAAUGCGUAGAUAUCGGAAGGAACACCGGUGGCGAAAGCGGCGCGCUAUCUCUUCUGACGCUGAGGCGCGAAAGCCAGGGGAGCGAACGGGAUUAGAUACCCCGGUAGUCCUGGCCCUAAACGUUGGGUACUAGGUUGUGGGCUUACGUGGGUUCACAGCCGGAGCAAAAGUAUUAAGUACCCCGCCUGGGGAGUAUGGUCGCAAGGCUGAAACUCAAAGAAAUUGACGGGGGCUCACACAAGCGGUGGAGCGUGUGGCUUAAUUCGAGUCUACGCGAAGAACCUUAUCCUGGGCUUGACAUGUGCGAAAGCGGUAGGCGUACCCUGGGGAAACCCAGGGGAACCUCGCAAGAGGGGACCUACCACAGGUGCUGCAUGGCUGUCGUCAGCUCGUGUCGUGAGAUGUCGGGUUAAGUCCCAUAACGAGCGAAACCCCUGUCUCCAGUUGCCAGCGAGUCAUGUCGGGGACUCUGGAGAGACUGCCGGUGUUAAACCGGAGGAAGGUGGGGAUGACGUCAAGUCCUCAUGGCCCUUAUGCCCAGGGCUGCACACGUGCUACAACGGCGUAUACAAAGGGAAGCAAACUCGCGAGAGUAAGCCAAUCCCAAAAAAUACGCCCCAGUUCAGAUCGAAGGCUGCAACUCGCCUUCGUGAAGUUGGAAUCGCUAGUAAUCGCGGGUCAGCAACACCGCGGUGAAUGUGUUCCUGAGCCUUGUACACACCGCCCGUCAAGCCACGAAAGAUCGGGGGGGGCCAAGUCGCCGCGCCAACUCGCAAGAGGAGCAAGCGCCUAACCCUCAACGGUCAAUUGGGACUAAGUCGUAACAAGGU
Molecule: ribosomal RNA, 1503 nt
Filed under: metagenome
Description: bacterial SSU rRNA
Rfam family: Bacterial small subunit ribosomal RNA
Source: RNAcentral